GACGAACGCUGGCGGCGUGCUUAACACAUGCAAGUCGAACGGAAAGGCCCUAGUUUUGUGGGGUGCUCGAGUGGCGAACGGGUGAGUAACACGUGAGUGAUCUGCCCUGUACUUCGGGAUAACCUUAGGAAACUGGGGCUAAUACCGGAUAUGAGGUCCUCCUGGAUGGGGGGGGUUGGAACGUUUGGGCGUUUGGGGAAGGGCGCGGGGUUUCUGAUUGUUGUGGGGGGGUGGUGGCAUCCCAGGGCUUUGAGGGAUCGGCGGCCUGAGGGGGUGACCGCCCACUGGGGGACUGAGAUACGGCCCAGACUCCUACGGGGGAGAACAGUGGGGAAUUGUGCACAAGGGGCGGGAGCCAGAUGCAGCAGCGCCGCGGGCGGGAUGACGGCCUUCGGGGUAUAAACCGCUUUCGCCUGUGACGAAGCGUUAGUGACGGUAAGGUGUAAAGAAGCACCGGCUAACUACGUG
This 468-nucleotide ribosomal RNA is filed under the name uncultured bacterium. Its description in RNAcentral is "partial 16S ribosomal RNA". It matches the Rfam family "Bacterial small subunit ribosomal RNA", at positions 28 to 507 of the family's 1533-position model. The record is from RNAcentral.